RNAcentral lists this ribosomal RNA (468 nucleotides) under uncultured bacterium. RNAcentral's name for it is "partial 16S ribosomal RNA". It matches the Rfam family "Bacterial small subunit ribosomal RNA", at positions 28 to 507 of the family's 1533-position model. The record is from RNAcentral.
GACGAACGCUGGCGGCGUGCUUAACACAUGCAAGUCGAACGGAAAGGCCCUGCUUUUGUGGGGUGCUCGAGUGGCGAACGGGUGAGUAACACGUGAGUAACCUGCCCUUGACUUUGGGAUAACUUCAGGAAACUGGGGCUAAUACCGGAUAGGAGCUCCUGCUGCAUGGUGGGGGUUGGAAAGUUUCGGCGGUUGGGGAUGGACUCGCGGCUUAUCAGCUUGUUGGUGGGGUAGUGGCUUACCAAGGCUUUGACGGGUAGCCGGCCUGAGAGGGGGAACGGGCACAAGGGGACUGCGAGACGGCCCAGACUCCUACGGGAGGCAGCAGUGGGAAAUAUUGCACAAUGGGAGGAAGCCUGAUGCAGCAACGCCGCGGUCGGGAUGACGGCCUGCGGGUUGUAAACCGCUUUCGCCUGUGACGAAGCGGUAGUGACGGUAAUGGGUAAAGAAGCACCGGCUAACUACGUG